UCAGACUGUCUAGCUCUAGCUAAUAACACAGCAUAGUAGGCUAUUGGUUGACAGACAGCCGCUGAUCACAUCACCACCAGCCAGGGACAUCACUAGACAUUAAUGGAUGGGGGGGCUAAGCCUCUUUUAGGGGGGUCUGACAUACUCCCUCCGGUCCGUUUAUUGUUAGCUAGCAGUCUCAAGCCACAGAAGUAGCUAACGUGAACUUAAACGUUGCAUGUACACUAGAUAGUGGUAAACCGCUGAGGCCGCCCAUUGUGACUCGCUUGUGGACGUGCUGGCAGCAAAUGGCAGCAUGUUUGAUUGUACGUCAAGAAUUCAGCACAGCAAGUUUGUAUGAAGAUCUGGUUAUUAAAGGGGUACAUAGUUCAAUAGUAAUAUCCUCUAAAACGCUCUGGUGACUAACAAACUGCUGCCCUGUUUCCAAUUAUCCACAUGGCUGGCAGAACCUAUUCAACUAAGUUAUAUCAGCUGUGUCGGUGAACCCCUCCUGCAUCUGAACUGGCUACAUAGGGGGCACAGCAUGAUCAGAUUUGAGAGGUCACUUGGUCAGGUCAACAGGAAGUAUUAUUAAAGAGAUGCUUUACAUUGAAAUACAGAUAGAUAUGUUUUGAUGUGAGAGGAUGCCAACCCCCAGUCUCAUCUCGCCACCUCACCUGCUUUUAAGAACCUUUGGGCCGACGAGAGACACUAUUGUGUAAUUGUGAUGAACUGAGAGAAUAUUUAGGUAGCACUGUGAUUCAUUAAUCAUGUGCUGCCUUCCCUGCUCCUAUGUGCUUACCUCUUUCCCUUUCUGUCUUUUACACCUCUUUCUUCCUCUGUUUUUAUAAUGCACAACACAUGUGCAUUGAAGUACAGAUUGAACUUGUAUUUAU
RNAcentral lists this long non-coding RNA (875 nucleotides) under Salmo salar (Atlantic salmon). Its description in RNAcentral is "lncRNA (ENSSSAG00000106230.1)". The record is from RNAcentral. Lineage: Eukaryota; Metazoa; Chordata; Actinopteri; Salmoniformes; Salmonidae.